This is a non-coding RNA of Aedes aegypti (yellow fever mosquito), 104 nucleotides long. The record is from Rfam. Lineage: Eukaryota; Metazoa; Arthropoda; Insecta; Diptera; Culicidae.
UGCCCAGCAACUCUUAUCCCUACCUCCUCGCGGUACUGGCCGGGGUACCAGUAACCUAAGGAAAGAUCGGGUAACCAACUCUGGUCGUAUGCUGACAGGAAAGG